ACCAUACUCCCUCCGUCCUGAAAUUCUUCUCUUAGAUUUGUCUAAAUACGGAUGUAUCUAGUUAUGUUUUAGUGUUAGAUACAUCUGUAUCUAAACAAAUUUAAGACAAGAAUUUCGGGAUGGAGGGAGUAUUUG
Non-coding RNA from Triticum aestivum (bread wheat), 135 nucleotides. Lineage: Eukaryota; Viridiplantae; Streptophyta; Magnoliopsida; Poales; Poaceae. The record is from Rfam.